Molecule: transfer RNA, 72 nt
Filed under: Spirochaetales bacterium
Lineage: Bacteria; Pseudomonadati; Spirochaetota; Spirochaetia; Spirochaetales
Also listed under: 2 other names
Description: tRNA-Gly
Rfam family: tRNA
About the family: Transfer RNA (tRNA) molecules are approximately 80 nucleotides in length. Their secondary structure includes four short double-helical elements and three loops (D, anti-codon, and T loops). Further hydrogen bonds mediate the characteristic L-shaped molecular structure. tRNAs have two regions of fundamental functional importance: the anti-codon, which is responsible for specific mRNA codon recognition, and the 3' end, to which the tRNAs corresponding amino acid is attached (by aminoacyl-tRNA synthetases). tRNAs cope with the degeneracy of the genetic code in two manners: having more than one tRNA (with a specific anti-codon) for a particular amino acid; and 'wobble' base-pairing, i.e. permitting non-standard base-pairing at the 3rd anti-codon position.
Source: RNAcentral
GCGUCUGUCGUAUAAUGGUUAUUACCCGAGCUUCCCAAGCUCGUGACGAGGGUUCGAUUCCCUUCAGACGCU